Xiphophorus couchianus (Monterrey platyfish) is the source of this 154-nucleotide long non-coding RNA. RefSeq lists it as uncharacterized. The transcript is spliced from 3 exons. The record is from RefSeq and is a predicted model, not a curated record. NCBI's taxonomy places the organism in Eukaryota, Metazoa, Chordata, Actinopteri, Cyprinodontiformes, Poeciliidae.
ACUGGAGUUUAGACGUGUGCUUUUCCAUGUCAAAGUGUACCUUGAAUGUGAGGGUAAGUCAUGAGGUAAAGAAACCCGCUCAGCAGGGUGUUGGAGGUGGUGUCCGUCCCAGCGGCAUAGAGGUCAAAAGUCAUUCCUGUCAGUUGUUUCUCAG